UACAGAGGGUGCAAGCGUUAAUCGGAAUUACUGGGCGUAAAGGGUGCGUAGGUGGUUGAAUAAGUUAGGUGUGAAAGUCCUGGCUUAACCUGGGGACUGCGCCUAAUACUGUUUAGCUAGAGUACUGUAGAGGAAGGUGGAAUUUCCAGUGUAGCGGUGAAAUGCGUAGAUAUUGGAAGGAACAUCUGUGGCGAAGGCGACCUUCUGGACAGAUACUGACACUGAGGCACGAAAGCGUGGGGAGCAAACAGG
RNAcentral lists this ribosomal RNA (252 nucleotides) under uncultured bacterium. Its description in RNAcentral is "partial 16S ribosomal RNA". It matches the Rfam family "Bacterial small subunit ribosomal RNA", at positions 524 to 776 of the family's 1533-position model. The record is from RNAcentral.